AUGGCUCAACCGGCAAUCGAGCAGGAUGGAUAUCCUAGCGCCUCUAUAUUAGCACCCACAAGGAAAGUAAACAUAGACGCAUAUUGUGUUCAACGUGAUGAUACAAGCGAGAGUUGGCCUACGCCGCCAACUGAUCUGCGGCAGCGUGGAAGGAGUGUUCAAAAGCAGCAGGAACAGUUGUUCUACUGCUGGUCGGAGGGAGAGCUUGGCAAGGGAGAUAGAGGGAGCUCUACAACCACGAUCUUGGCAUACAACCCGAUGGCAUCAUGCCCACAGCUUACGAAAUCUUAG
RNAcentral lists this ribosomal RNA (291 nucleotides) under Triticum aestivum (bread wheat). RNAcentral's name for it is "partial small subunit ribosomal RNA". Lineage: Eukaryota; Viridiplantae; Streptophyta; Magnoliopsida; Poales; Poaceae. The record is from RNAcentral.